CGCUGAAGGAGGAGCUUGCUCUUCUGGAUGAGUUGCGAACGGGUGAGUAACGCGUAGGUAACCUGCCUGGUAGCGGGGGAUAACUAUUGGAAACGAUAGCUAAUACCGCAUAACAGUAGAUGUUGCAUGACAUUUGCUUAAAAGGUGCAAUUGCACCACUACCAGAUGGACCUGCGUUGUAUUAGCUAGUUGGUGGGGUAACGGCUCACCAAGGCGACGAUACAUAGCCGACCUGAGAGGGUGAUCGGCCACACUGGGACUGAGACACGGCCCAGACUCCUACGGGAGGCAGCAGUAGGGAAUCUUCGGCAAUGGACGGAAGUCUGACCGAGCAACGCCGCGUGAGUGAAGAAGGUUUUCGGAUCGUAAGGCUCUGUUGUAAGAGAAGAACGAGUGUGAGAGUGGAAAGUUCACACUGUGACGGUAGCUUACCAGAAAGGGACGGCUAACUACGUGCCAGCAGCCGCGGUAAUACGUAGGUCCCGAGCGUUGUCCGGAUUUAUUGGGCGUAAAGCGAGCGCAGGCGGUUAGAUAAGUCUGAAGUUAAAGGCUGUGGCUUAACCAUAGUACGCUUUGGAAACUGUUUAACUUGAGUGCAAGAGGGGAGAGUGGAAUUCCAUGUGUAGCGGUGAAAUGCGUAGAUAUAUGGAGGAACACCGGUGGCGAAAGCGGCUCUCUGGCCUGUAACUGACGCUGAGGCUCGAAAGCGUGGGGAGCAAACAGG
RNAcentral lists this ribosomal RNA (724 nucleotides) under uncultured Bacilli bacterium. Its description in RNAcentral is "bacterial SSU rRNA". It matches the Rfam family "Bacterial small subunit ribosomal RNA", at positions 65 to 776 of the family's 1533-position model. The record is from RNAcentral. Lineage: Bacteria; Bacillati; Bacillota; Bacilli.